Salvelinus sp. IW2-2015 is the source of this 724-nucleotide long non-coding RNA. RefSeq lists it as uncharacterized. The record is from RefSeq and is a predicted model, not a curated record. Lineage: Eukaryota; Metazoa; Chordata; Actinopteri; Salmoniformes; Salmonidae.
CCUCAACUGCAUAUAUCAUAAAUUGCUAUUGCAAAUAGAAGUAUUAUGUUCAACAACUGACAUUUUCAGAUAUUAUUUUGACAACCACACUUUGGUGCUUACAAUUCAUUCUCUAUUGUCAUAGAUUUGGUGGGCACUGUCACCUGUGAUCUUUGUGAUAGGACUUUCUUUAAGCACGUACUGAUGAAACUGUCCCUUAAUAUUUUUUUCUUAAAGUCUACACUCUGAUAGGGUUGGAUCCUAUAUGCUACUUUUAUUAUUGUCCUGUAAAUGGUUCAGUGCCUAUAAUUUAGGCUGUGUAGACUGGGGCAUAAAGGAAAUUACCUCUGCUAAUAAAUUACUACUAGAUUAUAGUGAUAAAGAAAACAGUAUACACAUUUGGCUUGUGUAUUCAUUUGCCUAUAACUAAUCAUAAUUCCAUUUAUUUUUACAUAAAAAAGAGAAUACUUCAAAAUGAGAAGAUCCUGCCAUGGAAAAGACGACUGGGCGGACAUAAAGUGUAAAGGAGGGGAAAUAACUCACCACAUGCAGCAGGACACCUUCAGCUGUGGGGUCUUUGUAAUGCAGAUGGCCAAGGAAGUUGCACAGAACUUCCCCAACAUCCCCUCAAAAAAAUUGAUAUAGAACCUUCAAAAAUACAUGGAGCAACUGUGAAAAUAAAUGGCUGAGGAUAUACUAAAAAUGUCUGAGUUCAACAAAGCCAACAACUGCUUCAUGUGUGCCA